Molecule: long non-coding RNA, 3421 nt
Organism: Equus caballus (horse)
Lineage: Eukaryota; Metazoa; Chordata; Mammalia; Perissodactyla; Equidae
Source: Ensembl
UUUUGAUUUCUCUGUAGACUACAUCAAGUUCAUCACCCAAAGACUAAUUACCAUCCAUCACUAUACACAUGUGCCCAGUCACCUCUUUUGCUCCCCUUCCUUCCCCUUUCCCCUCUCGUAACCACCUGUCCAAUCUCUAUAUCAAUGUGUUUCUUUGUUGUUGUUGUUGUUAUGUUCCACUUAUGAGUGAAAUCAUCCUGUUAUUUGAUUUUCUCCAUCUGACUUAUUUUGCUUAGCAUAAUACUCUCAAGGUCCAUCUAUGUUGUCACAAAUGGCAAGAUUUCAUCUUUUUUAUGGCUGAAUAAUAUUCCAUUCUGUGUAUACACCACAUCUUCUUUAUCCCUUCAUCCAUUGAUGGGCACCUAGGUUGUUUCCAAGUCUUGGCUAUUGUGACCAAUGCUGUAAUGAACAUAGGGGUGCAAAUACCUCUACACAUUCCUGUUUUUGUGUUCUUUGGAUAAAUAACCCAGCAGUGGAAUAGCUGGAUCAUAUGGUAGUUCUAUUCUUAAUUUUUUGAGCAAUCUCCUUACUGUUUUCCAUAGUGGCUUCAUCAGUUUACAUUCCCACCAGCAGAGUAUGAGGGUUCACUUUUCUCUGCAUCCGCUCCAACACUUGUUAUUUCUUGUCUUGUUAAUUACAGCCAUUCUGACCAGUGUGAGGUGAUAUCUCAUUGUUGUUUUCAUUUUGAUUAACAUUUAAAUCCAUGGACUUUAAGUAAAGCAGAUUAGCCUCCUUAAUGUGGGUGUGCCUCAUCAAAUCAGUUGAAGGGUCUUAAGAGAAAGACAGAGGGCCCACAAGGAAGAGGGAAUUCUACCUCCAGACUGCCCUCGGACUCCAGCUGCAGCAUCACUUCGUCCCUAGGGCUCCAGCCUGCUGGCCUCCCCUGAAAACUUUGGGAUUUGGGGUUUGCCAGCUCCCACAAUCACGUGAGCCAAUUCCUUAAAAUAACUCUCUCUCUCUCUCCACCCACACAUACACACACAUGCUAUUGGUUCUGUUUCUCUGGAGAAACCUAACUAGUAGAAGUGGAAUUUACUGAACACACCUCAGCAGCCACAGAUUUUCAAUAUAUCUCCUAAGGGGCAACUAAUUUUGCCUGUUGCCAAGUCCUGUAGGAUUUGCCAAGAUGAGUUUGCUGCAAUGGGAGGAGGCAAACUGCAGUCAGACUGCCUGGUUUCAGUCCCCAGCUCCACCACUUACUUGCUGUAUGACUUGGGCAAUUUUCAUACUCUCCGUGUGCCUCAAUUUUCUCAUUUGUAAAAUGAGAUAGAAGUUCAGGGGUACCUUAUAAGGUUGUGUAGGAUUAAAUGAGAUAAUAGAUGCAAAGUCUUUAGAAUAGUUUCUGAGACAUAGCAACACCUUAAUAAGUUUUGGAGAUGAUUACAGGUCCCCUGGAGUGCCAUAUCUGAAGCCUACAGAGCAUAUACUGUAUGUUCAGCUAGCAGAGUCUAGGGAGCACCCAAUAGUCAAGUGCUGUCAUAUUUUGCAGUGAGAUGCACUAAGAGGAGCAAAUAAAGAUCAUAAACAACCUCAUAUUGAUUCAGGUCAAGUUUUGUCCCCAAAUGGGUUAGGGAGAAAACUUGGUUUUCAGAGAUUUUUGGAUUUUGGAACUGUGGAUAAGGGAUUGCAGACCUGCCUCAUAUGAUAAUGUUUUCAAGAUACCUGAAAACAAGUUGGCUUGCUGGGUGAGCUUGUUUAAUAUUUCCCACUUGAACAAUGCAGCAUGUCUAUCAUAAAAAUAAUUUUUGUUUAGGCAUAAUUGAUAAAGAACUAUGUUUUAGACUCAACUGGGAAAUUAUAUCAGUUGCUUCUGGAGACUUCUGGUUUGGAAGACUAAAGCUAUGGCCUCAGGAUAGAGACAAUUCUUGUCUUCUUGCUGUGCUGUUUGUCACAGCAGAGCGUAUGCCUCCACUUCCCACUAAAUUCUACCUGUUCCUUGCACAAGCUGCUAGGCUGACAGACCCAGGCUGGCAAUGUGCUGGAAGGAAGCCGGGGGCGACAGGCUCUUGGUAGGAUGUGGAGGAAUUAGAAUCAUAUUCCUUUAUCCUUUCAACAUAUAUUUUUGAGCACUUACUCUGUGUCAAAUGUUGUCAGCUCUAUCUUUGUAGCAUUUUAUUGUUCAUCAUGUGCUUUCACAUUUAUUGCCUCUUUUAGUAACCCUAUGAAGAAGAUGUAGUAAAUAUUGUCAUCCUUGUUUCACUGGUUAAGAAAGUUUGUGUCACUUUAAGGCACAGAUGUAGCUGAUCUGAAGCAUAAGCCCAGUUCUUCACUUUUUUCUACUCCACGAGUAAUAGAGGUUUGCACUUUAUGAAAAUAGGGAUGAAUAUAUGUUUGGAACCCAUAAAUAGUGAACUAUUGGCAAUGGUGGGUGCCAACCAUCAAAAUAGGAUUUAAGUAGCUAAACAUCUUCUCAUGGAACCUGUUUCAGCUUAAGGUGGUUAAUCAGAUAUUUCAUGUUAUAAGGGUUACCUUGUGCUUUGGAUGCUGUGCGGCAUUGCCCACAUUCCCUCUUCAGGACUAAAGGGCUUAGUCCCUUAGCUACCGGGAAGGUUGUUGGCUAAUGUCUCUCUCUGGGAAUUGCCAUCAGGUGGAGAGAGAGCCCCACCCUCUUUGAGGUUCACCUGCAUCCCAUGAUGCUGAGAUAUAAAAGUUCCACCCCCUUCUCCUGACUGGGGACAACUCUGAACGGCCAUUCCUGCUCUAGACUUCCCUGUGGGGUUAGCUGAGACCUUGCUGCACCUCCACCAUGGCCCAGUUUCCAGUCUGACUCCUCCCGCGUUUGUUCCACAGCUGUUGAACCAAGGGCACUCCCAAAUACACCUCUGCACUUAAAUCAUCAUCUCAGAGUCUGCGUCCAGGGGACCACAACCUGCGAAACCAGGUCUCAGUGGGUGAAGGAAAAAAGUAGUUCUCAGGUGUUUAGUAUGUGAGAAAAUACUCACUUUUGAGAUUUUCUGUCUUUGAUAGUUAAAAAGGUGGGAAAAAAGUGACCCCUUUUGAAAUUCGUUUGGUCUUUUUGUUAGACACUCUGCCAUUUGUUGUUUCCCUUUAUUUACUAACUUUCACCCUAGUUUAAUUUACCUCGAAAUAUGAAUAACCAAGCCUACUUGAACCCAUUUUUCAAUUGAAAUUUGUUGCAGAACAGAAAAUUACAUGAGGAACUUGAAGGACAAGGCGUUUGUUGGAAUGGGAGACGCAGAACAUUAGAGCAGACUGGAAUACUUUUGGAGGACUCCACCCCAGCUGACGUUGGAAUGUUUUCUCACCGGGGCUUGAACUGCCCCCUUCCUCAUGUAUCAGUGGCUCUUAACUGGUACUAAACAGACAAAAAGAAGGAGGUGGAGGGGGAAGAAGAAGGAGAAACUCUGAUAAAAGGCCUGAAGAUACACAAUUUGGAAGUAGGAAAUGAAGGAAAGAAACU